CAGUAGCCACGGGAAUACAGAGGGUGCAAGCGUUAAUCGGAAUUACUGGGCGUAAAGCGCGCGUAGGUGGUUCGCCAAGUUGGAUGUGAAAUCCCCGGGCUCAACCUGGGAACUGCAUCCAAAACUGGCGAGCUAGAGUAUGGUAGAGGGUGGUGGAAUUUCCUGUGUAGCGGUGAAAUGCGUAGAUAUAGGAAGGAACAUCAGUGGCGAAGGCGACCACCUGGACUGAUACUGACACUGAGGUGCGAAAGCGUGGGGAGCAAACAGGAUUAGAUACCCGUGUAGUCCCUGUCUCUUAUAU
RNAcentral lists this ribosomal RNA (301 nucleotides) under uncultured bacterium. RNAcentral's name for it is "partial 16S ribosomal RNA". It matches the Rfam family "Bacterial small subunit ribosomal RNA", at positions 509 to 809 of the family's 1533-position model. The record is from RNAcentral.